Molecule: ribosomal RNA, 950 nt
Filed under: uncultured bacterium
Lineage: Bacteria
Description: bacterial SSU rRNA
Rfam family: Bacterial small subunit ribosomal RNA
Source: RNAcentral
UAGAGUUUGAUCCUGGCUCAGGAUGAACGCUAGCGGCGGGCUUAAUACAUGCAAGUCGAGGGGCAGCAUGGGUCUUCGGACCUGAUGGCGACCGACGGACGGGUGCGUAACGCGUAUGCAACUUGCCAACAACAGGGAGAUAGCCCGGAGAAAUUCGGAUUAAUAUUCCAUAAUGCAGGGGUACCGCCUGGUACUAUUUGCUAAAGAUUUAUCGGUUGUUGAUAGGCAUGCGUCUGAUUAGUUAGUUGGUGAGGUAAAGGCUCACCAAGACGAUGAUCAGUAGGGGUUCUGAGAGGAUGAUCCCCCACACUGGAACUGAGACACGGUCCAGACUCCUACGGGAGGCAGCAGUAAGGAAUCUUGGUCAAUGGGUGCGAGCCUGAACCAGCCACGCCGCGUGUUAGAAGAAGGCCCUCAGGGUUGUAAAUAACUUUUAUACGGGAAGAAUGGCUCUCAUGCGUGAGAGAGGAGACGGUACCGUACGAAUAAGGACCGGCUAACUACGUGCCAGCAGCCGCGGUAAUACGUAGGGUCCAAGCGUUAUCCGGAAUCACUGGGUUUAAAGGGUGCGUCGGCGGCUUAGUAAGUUUGGGGUGAAAUUCUGUCGCUUAACGAUAGAACGGCCUCGGAUACUGCUAAGCUAGAGUAUAGCAGAGGAAAGCAGAAUUCGUGGUGUAGCGGUGAAAUGCAUAGAUACCACGAGGAAUACCGAUAGCGAAGGCCGCUUUCUGGGCUAUUACUGACGCUUAGGCACGAAAGCGUGGGGAGCGAACAGGAUUAGAUACCCUGGUAGUCCACGCUGUAAACGAUGGAUAUUCGGUGUCGGCACAAUUGGGUGCCUGCGCCUGAGCGAAGCGUAAAUAUCCACCUGGGGAGUACGUCGGCACGAUGAACUCAAGGAUUGACGGGGUCCGCACAGCGGUGGAGUAUGUGGUUUAUUCGAUGAUACG